Molecule: non-coding RNA, 138 nt
Organism: Ornithorhynchus anatinus (platypus)
Lineage: Eukaryota; Metazoa; Chordata; Mammalia; Monotremata; Ornithorhynchidae
Source: Rfam
CCCCUCUCAGGGUCGCACCUGGAGAGUUUCCAGUACUCUACCAGUCUCAGCUAUGGGAGGGAGAGUCGAGCAGAGGCCUAUCCAUUCCGUUCCUAGGUUGCGCAGGGGCUAGCGAGUGGAAGGCCAACUGCUACAAGU